UACAGAGGUCUCAAGCGUUGUUCGGAUUCAUUGGGCGUAAAGGGUGCGUAGGUGGUGGGGUAAGUCCGCUCUGAAAGUCCAGGGCUCAACCCUGGAAAGCGGGUGGAUACUGCCGGGCUAGAAUCCGGAAGAGGCGAGUGGAAUUCCUGGUGUAGCGGUGGAAUGCGCAGAUAUCAGGAGGAACACCGGUGGCGAAGGCGGGUCUCUGGGCCGUAACUGACGCUGAGGAGCGAAAGCGUGGGGAGCGAACAGG
RNAcentral lists this ribosomal RNA (253 nucleotides) under uncultured bacterium. RNAcentral's name for it is "partial 16S ribosomal RNA". It matches the Rfam family "Bacterial small subunit ribosomal RNA", at positions 524 to 776 of the family's 1533-position model. The record is from RNAcentral.